This 72-nucleotide transfer RNA is filed under the name Sundasalanx praecox (dwarf noodlefish). Its description in RNAcentral is "tRNA-Thr". It matches the Rfam family "tRNA". From Rfam's summary of the family: Transfer RNA (tRNA) molecules are approximately 80 nucleotides in length. Their secondary structure includes four short double-helical elements and three loops (D, anti-codon, and T loops). The record is from RNAcentral. Lineage: Eukaryota; Metazoa; Chordata; Actinopteri; Clupeiformes; Clupeidae.
GCCUUAGUAGCUUAGCUUUAAAGCACCGGUUUUGUAAUCCGGAGACCGGAGGUUAAAAUCCCCCCUAUGGCC